UGGAAGUAAAAGUCGUAACAAGGUCUCCGUUGGUGAACCAGCGGAGGGAUCAUUACAGAGUUGCAAAACUCCCAAACCAUCGUGAACGUUACCUACAUCGUUGCUUCGGCGGGUGGCGGGCUUCGGCCCUGCCCUCGGCCCCUCUCGGGGGCCCGCCGGAGGUACACCAAACUCUUGAAUUUACAUGGCCUCUCUGAGUCUUCUGUACUGAAUAAGUCAAAACUUUCAACAACGGAUCUCUUGGUUCUGGCAUCGAUGAAGAACGCAGCGAAAUGCGAUAAGUAAUGUGAAUUGCAGAAUUCAGUGAAUCAUCGAAUCUUUGAACGCACAUUGCGCCCGCCAGUAUUCUGGCGGGCAUGCCUGUCCGAGCGUCAUUUCAACCAUCAAGCCCCCGGCUUGUGUUGGGGACCUGCGGCACACCCGCAGGCCCUGAAAACCAGUGGCGGGCUCGCUGUCCACACCGAGCGUAGUAGCAUAUCUUUGUCUCGCUCAGGGCGUGCGGCGGGUUCCGGCCGUGAAACCCACCUUCUCGAAGGUACCCAAAGGUUGACCUCGGAUCAGGUAGGAAGACCCGCUGAACUUAAGCAUAUCAAUAAGCGGAGG
This 603-nucleotide ribosomal RNA is filed under the name fungal sp. ARIZ B095. Its description in RNAcentral is "eukaryotic LSU rRNA". The stretch from base 221 to 374 matches the Rfam family "5.8S ribosomal RNA". Lineage: Eukaryota; Fungi. The record is from RNAcentral.